GACGAACGCUGGCGGCGUGCUUAACACAUGCAAGUCGAACGGUAAGGCCCUUCGGGGUACACGAGUGGCGAACGGGUGAGUAACACGUGGGUGAUCUGCCCUGCACUUCGGGAUAAGCCUGGGAAACUGGGUCUAAUACCGGAUAGGACCACUGCCUGCAUGGGUGGUGGUGGAAAGCUUUUGCGGUGUGGGAUGGGCCCGCGGCCUAUCAGCUUGUUGGUGGGGUGAUGGCCUACCAAGGCGACGACGGGUAGCCGGCCUGAGAGGGUGACCGGCCACACUGGGACUGAGAUACGGCCCAGACUCCUACGGGAGGCAGCAGUGGGGAAUAUUGCACAAUGGGCGCAAGCCUGAUGCAGCGACGCUGCGUGAGGGAUGACGGCCUUCGGGUUGUAAACCUCUUUCAGUAGGGACGAAGCGAAAGUGACGGUACCUAAAGAAGAAGCACCGGCUAACUACGUGCCAGCCGCCGCAGUAA
Molecule: ribosomal RNA, 478 nt
Filed under: uncultured bacterium
Lineage: Bacteria
Description: partial 16S ribosomal RNA
Rfam family: Bacterial small subunit ribosomal RNA
Source: RNAcentral